GGCACCGUGGCCUAAUGGUAAGGCGUUGCUUUCCGGUUUUGAGGAGUAUGGCAAAGAUUGUGGGUUCGAGUCCCAUCGGUGUCG
Molecule: transfer RNA, 84 nt
Filed under: Hortaea werneckii
Lineage: Eukaryota; Fungi; Ascomycota; Dothideomycetes; Mycosphaerellales; Teratosphaeriaceae
Also listed under: 1 other name
Description: tRNA-Arg
Rfam family: tRNA
About the family: Transfer RNA (tRNA) molecules are approximately 80 nucleotides in length. Their secondary structure includes four short double-helical elements and three loops (D, anti-codon, and T loops).
Source: RNAcentral